Non-coding RNA from Lonchura striata (white-rumped munia), 364 nucleotides. Lineage: Eukaryota; Metazoa; Chordata; Aves; Passeriformes; Estrildidae. The record is from RefSeq and is a predicted model, not a curated record.
CAAUUCACCUUGUUACUGCACCUCCAGUUGCUGCAGCACAGAUGGGAUGCAACAUCUCCCACUGUUUGGGGACUGCCCCUAAAGGGCAGAAAACCCAGUGCAUGAGAGCUGAACAUUAACAGCAAAUGGAAUCAAUCUCUCAGACUUCAAAGUUCUACCCCCCUGUACACUGUGAAAUUUAGUUUUGAGAGCUGCUGAGAUAUUCAGAACUAUGUAACUCUUUGCUCCAAAGGAGACAUUGGUGUGACUUUUCAGAAACGCCACAUUAAAAAUAAGCCAUCAUAAAAAUAGCACUGUAUUGACUCUGUGACCCCAAAAAUGUACUCUAGACUGUCACUACCAUUAAAGGCAACAAAUCUCUUCU